Molecule: non-coding RNA, 41 nt
Filed under: Alexandrium minutum
Lineage: Eukaryota; Dinophyceae; Gonyaulacales; Pyrocystaceae
Source: RNAcentral
UUUUUUUUUUUUUUUUUUUUUUUUUUUUUUUUUUUUUUUCU